Molecule: long non-coding RNA, 1638 nt
Organism: Gossypium raimondii (Peruvian cotton)
Lineage: Eukaryota; Viridiplantae; Streptophyta; Magnoliopsida; Malvales; Malvaceae
Exons: 4
Source: RefSeq, a predicted model, not a curated record
ACAUUUCUUUGCACGCCAAAAAAUGUUGUAGAAAAGUUAAGGUUGGGUUUUUCCAGAUUUACACCCUGUUUGGUUCGCUGUAAUGGGGAUACCAUUACAGCCCGAUUCGGUAGGCCCUACCUAUUCCGACGUUUGGUUGGAUGUAAUGCCCUAUUACGGGAUGAUUACAUUAUGCCCUAUUCGUCAUAUUUGAUGCUUUCUAUUCCAGACGGAAAGGUCAGUUUCCAUGCGUUUUAGGUUGUCCCGAUUCCUUCUUCCUUGUUUUACCCUCAAAACCUGAAAGCCACCUCCACCUCUACCCUCUCCCUCUCGAUUUCUUCUGGCCUCAUCGUUUUCGAGCAGGAACUAGGGCUCUGUCAAGGUUAUUGAUCUCCAAAUUCUGACAAGGUUGCGUUGAUUUCCAUCCUUUCUGGGUAUUGGACUGUUAGCUACGGAUUUGCUCCAGACAUAAAUCGUUGGCAAGCUGAAGCUCUAGUUGAAUUUCAAGAGGUAUUUUAUAGUUGCAAUUCAAGAGAUAAUUAUGUCAGGUGUUUUAGAAUCAAAUGUUCCUUCCCAAUCAUCUCAAGGAACCAAAAGGAAAUGGGUUCCAGAAGAAGAUGCAGCAUUGGUUUCCUGCAUGGUGGACUUGCACAAUGUUGGAACAUUUAACACUGAUACGGGGUUCAAAGCCGGUUACUUAAACGAGUUGGAAAAAAUGUUAGAAAAGGCUUUACCCAAUACAAUGUUGAAGGCUAGACCUAAUAUAUAGUCAAGGAUUAGGUUAUUAAAAAAGGAUUGGUCAAUCGUGUAUGACAUGCUUAAUGGCCAAAACAAUAGCGGUUUUGGUUGGGACGAUCAUAGGCAGGUCGUUGUUACUGAAGAUGCGGUUUGGGACUCUUAUUUAAAGAGUCAUAAAGAAGCCGGUCAGUUCAGACAUCGUAGUUUCCCUUACUACGACCAACUUACUGCCAUAUACGCAAAAGAUUGAGCGACUGGGAAAGAUGUUUAAACAGCCGUUGACGUUCUUGAAGAAAUAGAUGCUGAGGAUGUACCUACUGUGUAUAUUAAUGAAGAAAGAAACGAAUACUAUGACUGCGAUGCUAAUGUCUCUUUGGAUGACAUGGAUGUUUCUGCUAUGGAGCCGCAACCAGAUAGAAACCAAGUUGGUUCCUCAUCUUCAAAGAGGAAAAAAAAGAAUUCUGAUGCAAGUGGUCAUUUUUCUUCUUCAGUUAAUGAUGCUGCCACUUUAUUGGCUGAAAACAUGCGGGCCAUUGGCGAACAAAUCAGUAGGAGUAUUGCCUCCGAUGUGGUAGCUCAACAAAGGUCAGAAGAAUUCCAGACCAUCUAAGAAAAAGCUACAAAUUUAUAUCCAACCUUAUGUGAAAUAGAAGGUUUAACUGUGGAUGAGCGGUUUCGAGCAUUGAGUAAAAUUCCAGAUCAUCCAACUCAAAUGCUCGUUUUCUUUAGUUUACCUUCUGAUGUACGGUUGGAAUGGGUUAGAAGAUUUCUUGCUGACCAUUAAAAAUUAUGGUUUUGUUGAUGACAUUUUCGUAACUUUUUCUGUUUGUAAUAUUUGGGAUGGUAUGUCAUUACAAUGUUCUAACUUUUUGGUGUGGCAAAACUGUAUAACAUAUGGAUUGUGACAUAGAAUUUCAUGAA